GCCUAACACAUGCAAGUCGAGCGCCUCGCAAGAGGAGCGGCAGACGGGUGAGUAACACGUGGGAAUCUACCCAUCCCUACGGAACAACUCCGGGAAACUGGAGCUAAUACCGUAUACGCCCUUCGGGGGAAAGAUUUAUCGGGGAUGGAUGAGCCCGCGUUGGAUUAGCUAGUUGGUGGGGUAAAGGCCUACCAAGGCGACGAUCCAUAGCUGGUCUGAGAGGAUGAUCAGCCACAUUGGGACUGAGACACGGCCCAAACUCCUACGGGAGGCAGCAGUGGGGAAUAUUGGACAAUGGGCGCAAGCCUGAUCCAGCCAUGCCGCGUGAGUGAUGAAGGCCUUAGGGUUGUAAAGCUCUUUCACCGAUGAAGAUAAUGACGGUAGUCGGAGAAGAAGCCCCGGCUAACUUCGUGCCAGCAGCCGCGGUAAUACGAAGGGGGCUAGCGUUGUUCGGAAUUACUGGGCGUAAAGCGCACGUAGGCGGAUAUUUAAGUCAGGGGUGAAAUCCCGCAGCUCAACUGCGGAACUGCCUUUGAUACUGGGUAUCUUGAGUAUGGAAGAGGUUAGUGGAAUUGCGAGUGUAGAGGUGAAAUUCGUAGAUAUUCGCAGGAACACCAGUGGCGAAGGCGGGCUAACUGGUCCAUAACUGAACGCUGAGGUGCGAAAAGCGUGGGGAGCAAACAGG
Molecule: ribosomal RNA, 685 nt
Filed under: uncultured Rhizobium sp.
Lineage: Bacteria; Pseudomonadati; Pseudomonadota; Alphaproteobacteria; Hyphomicrobiales; Rhizobiaceae
Description: bacterial SSU rRNA
Rfam family: Bacterial small subunit ribosomal RNA
Source: RNAcentral